RNAcentral lists this long non-coding RNA (557 nucleotides) under Prunus persica (peach). RNAcentral's name for it is "long non-coding RNA (PPER_LNC001322)". The record is from RNAcentral. Lineage: Eukaryota; Viridiplantae; Streptophyta; Magnoliopsida; Rosales; Rosaceae.
CACGACGAAAAAAUAUUAGUCGAGCAAAGUUUUGCGUGAAAAAAAUUAUUGGUCGCGCAAAGGCUAAAAAAAAAAUUGGGGAGAGGAGUGAGUGUGAGAGAAAGGGUGGGAUUUGGGGAGAGGGAAAGAGAGAGGAGAGAUAAGAGUAGAGAAAGACAUUAAGAAAAUCAUGGAGGAGUUAUUUUGGUUUUUAAAACCGUAUCACUUUGCGCGACGAAAAAUAUAUAUUGAUAGUGCAAAGUUUUGCACGACGAAAAAUAUUGGAUUAUUGGUAGUGCAAAGUUUUGUGCGACGAAAAAUAUUGGUCGCACAAAGUCUAAAAAAAAUUUAAAACAUAUUUUUUUUUCCGCGUCCCAUUUUUGGUACCCGCCCAAAUUUUUAAAAUUUUGUGCGUCGAAAAAUAUUUUAGUAUUGGUCGUGCAAAGUCUAAAAAAAAAAAAAAUUCCCGCGUCCCAUUUUUGGUACCCACCCAAAAUUUAAAAGUUUUGCGCCACGAAAAAUAUUUGAAUAUUGGUCGUGCAAAGUCUAAAAAAAAAAUUUAAAAUAAAAUAAAAUCC